UCUCCCUCUCUCCCUGUGAAGAAAUAAUGAGAAGGCAACUGUCUAUAAGCUAAGAAGAGAAGACUCACCAGAAACUGGAAAUCUUGUACUUCUAACCUUCAGAACUCAAUCUCCCUGUGCUGAGGAGUUCUGGACAAGCGUGGAUGCUGGAAGGAGUUCUAGUCCAGAUUUCGCAGGCUUCAGAACGGUCAUGCUGGCACUUCCCCAGUCUCCACUCUGUCACCUGGGGCUUGACUAUUCUCCCGUUCCUGACCUACCAGAGCCACCAUCCUUUCAAGAAACAAACAUAGCAGUGUUCCCCUUACAGUGUUGUUACCUCCUGAACUUCAGUUUUAGAAGAUAUCAGCAAAUAUCUGCAAGAGAAAACUACAUUUUCA
Molecule: non-coding RNA, 377 nt
Organism: Microcebus murinus (gray mouse lemur)
Lineage: Eukaryota; Metazoa; Chordata; Mammalia; Primates; Cheirogaleidae
Source: RefSeq, a predicted model, not a curated record